UGCCUACGGGGCGCAGCAGUGAGGAAUAUUGGUCAAUGGCCGAGAGGCUGAACCAGCCAAGUCGCGUGAGGGAUGACGGCCCUACGGGUUGUAAACCUCUUUUGCCGGGGAGCAAAAAGCGGUACGUGUACCGCAUCGAGAGUACCCGGAGAAAAAGCAUCGGCUAACUCCGUGCCAGCAGCCGCGGUAAUACGGAGGAUGCGAGCGUUAUCCGGAUUUAUUGGGUUUAAAGGGUGCGCAGGCGGCGAGUUAAGUCAGCGGUAAAAUUUCGGGGCUCAACCCCGACGAGCCGU
Molecule: ribosomal RNA, 293 nt
Filed under: uncultured bacterium
Lineage: Bacteria
Description: partial 16S ribosomal RNA
Rfam family: Bacterial small subunit ribosomal RNA
Source: RNAcentral